RNAcentral lists this long non-coding RNA (220 nucleotides) under Gossypium raimondii (Peruvian cotton). RNAcentral describes it as "long non-coding RNA (GRAI_LNC008015)". The record is from RNAcentral. Lineage: Eukaryota; Viridiplantae; Streptophyta; Magnoliopsida; Malvales; Malvaceae.
UGUUGGUGGCACUGAUAAGAGAAAAAGACAAGAAUCACAUAUGAAACAAGCAUAGUUCAUAGGCUCCCUUUUGUUUUUUUUUUCUAUUUCAAUUGUUUCUUUUCAAAUUUUUUUUCUGCUUCACUUAUUUUUUUUUUUUAAAUUUUCACCGGUGUCACCUGACACACCGGUGACACCCAUUAAAAAAUAUUAUAUUUCUUCAUGAAUACUUAUAUUUUUC